This 19-nucleotide small nuclear RNA is filed under the name Arabidopsis thaliana (thale cress). RNAcentral's name for it is "snRNA_08296". Lineage: Eukaryota; Viridiplantae; Streptophyta; Magnoliopsida; Brassicales; Brassicaceae. The record is from RNAcentral.
UCUUUGCAAUAUUGCGGGU